GCCAGCUGCAGGCACCUGCCCAGGUUAUAGUAUACCUAGGCAAGUGUUACACCACUGGCAGAAAAGCAGCCAACAGCUCGUGGGCAUUACGGGCCUGGUUAAUGCCAAAUUU
Ochotona princeps (American pika) is the source of this 112-nucleotide small nucleolar RNA. Its record names the gene SNORA74. It matches the Rfam family "Small nucleolar RNA SNORA74". Rfam says of the family: U19 belongs to the H/ACA class of snoRNAs. snoRNAs bind a number of proteins (including dyskerin, Gar1p and Nop10p in the case of the H/ACA class) to form snoRNP complexes. This class are thought to guide the sites of modification of uridines to pseudouridines by forming direct base pairing interactions with substrate RNAs. Targets may include ribosomal and spliceosomal RNAs but the exact functions of many snoRNAs, including U19, are not confirmed. Lineage: Eukaryota; Metazoa; Chordata; Mammalia; Lagomorpha; Ochotonidae. The record is from Ensembl.